UAUUGCUAUAUGGUAUAGAGGCGUUUGCCGCAUGCUCAUCUAGGUUGCCCAAAUUUCAAAAGUGUCAUAUAUUAUUGUAUAAGGUUUGAUAUAUUGGUUUCGAUAUAGUUUCGAGACGAAACUUUUUGUAGGAGGGGGUGUAUGUCACCGGAUAUAUUUAUCCAUUUUGUUUCAUCUUUAAGCAUUUCAUAUUAUUUGUGUUUUCAGUGUUAUAUGUUUCCCAUUCAUAUCAUAUUCAUUUUUCAUAUUCAUGUUUCUUGACGAUUGACGACAAUUUUGCGCUGCCUAUUUUGAAAUAGACUAUAGCUUUGUACGCUAUGUUUUGC
Molecule: long non-coding RNA, 326 nt
Filed under: Mytilus galloprovincialis (Mediterranean mussel)
Lineage: Eukaryota; Metazoa; Mollusca; Bivalvia; Mytilida; Mytilidae
Source: RNAcentral